RNAcentral lists this ribosomal RNA (114 nucleotides) under uncultured bacterium. RNAcentral describes it as "partial 16S ribosomal RNA". It matches the Rfam family "Bacterial small subunit ribosomal RNA", at positions 1360 to 1482 of the family's 1533-position model. The record is from RNAcentral.
CGGUGAAUACGUUCCCGGACCUUGUACACACCGCCCGUCAAGCCAUGGAAGCUGGGUGUACCUAAAGUCGAUAACCGCAAGGAGCCGCCUAGGGUAAAACUAGUAACUGGGGCU